CUCACCACGUAAGUACCUUGUCAUCUCACGUCAUCUUGAGAAGGAUGAGUAAGUACAAUAAGGUAUUUUGAGAGACAGACCACGUGUUCACAUAACUUGUAUUACAGUAUAUUGUUGUAACUGUUCAUUUUACUAGUUAUUGUUGUUAAUCUCUUGCUGUGCCUCAUCUAUAAAAUCAUAGGUGUGUAUGUACAAGAGAAAACAUAAUGUGCAUAGGAUUUGUACUACCUGUGGUUUCAGACAUCCACUAGGGAUCUUGGAACGUGUCCCCUGCAGAUAACGGGGGCUGCUGCACUCGUACUCACCACAACCCACUUUCUCUGAAUUUCUUUCCAUGCAAGUAUUUGUUGAGAGCCUUCUAAACCAACCACAGAAUGAGAUGCUGAGGUUGCUACAUAAAAAGCCUAGUAGAUUCCCUUGCCCUCCUGAAGCCAGUCUCCCCAUCAGGGAGAUGGGAAGCAGUAAGAACGCAGGCAGCCGAGAAGGAGGUGCCCUGAGGAAUAGUAGAGGGAGCGAGGUGGGGCUCCGCCAGCCUCAGUUUCCUGAGCCGUAUAAAGAGCUGCACCCUCAGAUCUAAGUCCUCGCAACACACGCUUCUGCUCUGUGAGUCUCUGCGUGUGGGUUGACAUAAUCGAGAGGAGUUUCAUACGGGUCUUGGGACUCCAGCUGGGCUGUCAACAAUAGGUGGCGUUUAGAAGGGAGGACAGCCCAGGCCGAGCGGAAGGAUGGGGCAGGAGAAGCAUGGACAUCUACAGGGAGAGGUGUGGGCUGUGCCCGCCCCCGAGGGGGAGCAGAGGUAGCCUGAGAAUGACAGAUCAGGGCUUCAGAUGUGAGACGGCGGGCUGCGGGGCCUGUGCGGGACCUCAAAGGUCAGUUUGCUGCCUGUGUGGCGUCUGAGAGACAUUACAGGCAUUUCAGAAAAGAGAGGAGUUGAGGUUAGAAAAGUGGGUGUUUUUUUUUUUUUUCUAUGAAUGCAAGACACAGGACAGGUGGAGAAAAUCUGAGAGACCAGAAACAGGAAGCCAACUCAAGACCCUGUUGUAGUUGGCCAGUAUGCAGCACGGUGGACUUGGAAUUAAGGCCAUGGUACUAUUAGAAACCCAGAGGAGUCGUUGGUUUAAUAAUUGGUGUGAACUUUAAUGAGACGGGAAUCUUAAACAAUUCCAAAGUGAAGAUCCUGGGAAAAGCGCAGAAAUAGGACCGCUGGGGAGUCCAGAUGGGAAAGACUCUGAGCUUGCUUUGGACAUGGUGAGCUGUGGUAAUGUCAGGACAUUCAGAUAGAAAUGGCCGGCUGUUUGUUAGAGAUGCCUCAUUGCUGCCCUGUCGCUGCCACGGGGUUGUCCUGUCACAGCCUAUCCUCAGGGGCUGUCUCUCCAUUGCUCCUGGGAAGACAGUCUCCUGUUAACUCCGCAAAGCCGUGCUCUGUCUUCUCUUGAAUGUGACCUUUCCCUUAAUUUAUAAUAUCUCCUCCUGAAUCUUUCAGCGUGUGAGCAUCUGUUUUCCGUUCUGCAGUGGCUGAAAGGAGGCAUAAGAAGGGAGGUCAGGGCAGCUUCUAUUUCUUCAGCCAACAGUGAUGCAUUGAGCACCUACUCUGUGCUGGGUGCUGUGCUAAGUCCAGAGCAUCUAAGAGGAGGAAAGGGGACCUGGUCCGCUUCCCGCUGGGGAAGACAGAUGGUACAUGACGGUGCCCAGCCAAAGAACCUAGAAGGGAAGAAGAGAAGAGUUUCCCCUCCUACGGCUCUAUCACUCCGGACACAUCAGAAAGCCUGUAGGUGAAAGACAAGUACCCAGUGUCUGUUCAGGGUGAUGGUUAUACUUCUCACAAAUAGUGCGGCAUUAAAUCCUCCAUCGCCCUGCUGCCUGCGUCUACUUUUUCAAAUCAGCUCUACGGGGGCCUCAAGCAACAGGAGAAAUAGGUCCAAGAUUCUCAUCAUGAUGCAGGUUUUGUAUCAAAAAUGCACAAUCAACCGACUGGAACAGGAAAUAAUUAAUCAGGACAUUACAGAGCAAGAUAUGCAGAGCAAAUCAUCGUGAAGCUAGUCUAUCUGGGAAGAGAAGUGCACAGAGCGAAAAAGAACUGAACACACAGAGGUGCGCUAGCAGUGGCUACUCUUGUCCCAGCAGCUGCCUCGGACCCAGAUGAUGCCCCUGGAAGUCUGUCAGAAUCCAGCCAUCAAGUUGAAAUAGGUUAAUCUGGUCGUAUCACCGGCAAGUGUGUCUCAGUCAUCUGGAAGAAGAUACUCACGGAAGUAAACUAUGGGUACACUCUUCAGCAACUAUGCGGCUGAUUUAAAAGGCUUCCAGUGAUGCAAGGUGAAUUCAACAGUGAGACCAAAGAGGUUUCUCCAGCGGCCUUCCCAGGCACAGCUGCAGAGCACAGAGCUUGGGCUUUGAGCCAGAAAGAACUGGGUUGAAACUGGCUCUUAUCAGUUACCAACCGGGUGACCUUGGGUCCUUGGAUGCGUUUCUUACCCCUCUCUGAGCCUUACACUCCUCAUGAAUAAAAUAAGCAGGAGAAACCUACUGCUGGGGGUUCAAGAUUUAAAUGAAAGAACAACAUAUAUAAAAGCACCUAACGCAGUGCUAGGGCACAGUAGAAACCUAAGUUCCCAUUUUUCUAGAACCCAGUUCAGGCUCCGUUGGCACACACGACAGGAGAAAGUUUUUGCCAUCUUUUGACAGGAACCUGAAGUUGACUGGCCCUUCUGCAAAGCUAUCAUCUGGUCGAUCUGUUGCAGAAGAGCUGAGUUUGGGUGAUGACUCAAUCAGCUCGGUCCCUCUCACAAAAUGCCACAGACCGGGUGGCUUACCCAGCAAACGCUGAUUUCUCACGGUUCAGGAGGCUGGGAAAUCCUGGAUCAAAGUUCUGGCUGAUGAGGUAUCUGGUGAAAGUCCUCUUCCAGAAUUUGCUCUUCUCUUUUUAUAAGGGCACUGCUCCCAUCAUGAGGACCCCACCCUCGUUGCCUAAUCGAACCCCAGUCCCCUCCUGAAGGCCGUGCCUCCAAAUACCGCCACAGCGCGUCUCUGUUCAGUCUGUAGCCGCUGCAUCGGCCGCUUCCACACAGACUUGGAACUUCAGACACAGAAGCCUCAGAACUUUCUCAUGACUUCCUGCCGCUCUGACUCCUAUGCAGCAAAUACACUUCUCUGCGGACUGUGUGGCCUCAGCCAAGGCUGCUGGGGAAACUGUGUGCCUGUCUAGGUACCGAGCAUGUAGUCGGUGCUUAUCAAAUAGGGACGGGCCAAGUGUGCCUGGAGAAUGGGCCCCCAGAGCCCACCCCCAGGGCAGGACUUUCGUGCCAUCAACGCCCACGCGUUGGGUUGCUCUUUGCCUAGGAGGCUUUUACACCUUCCGUGCCUCGUGAUAUUACUGCCCUCGCUUCUCUCAUCCUGGCAGAGUGGUCUCACUUCCAUUUCGGAGCUCGGAGGAGUGCUUACCCCUUUCCCUAGGCUCUCCCUGCUGGGAACCAAGUAGCACUGGGUCUACGCAGAAAACCGGGAGACCUUCUGGCCCGUCCUUGUCCAGCAGAGCCAGGUGCUGUGCUGAGGACUCCAGGCGCCCGCUCCUUCUCGUCGGGCUCGCUUGGCAGUGGCCGUCCCACAGGCAGCAGGCCCGAGGCGGGCAGACACCAGCUGGCUCCCGUCCCUGCACCGCCCCAUCUGCUAGAUGAGGGGGACUCUGGGGAGAAGCGGGGAGGAGCUGGCCAACUUACAGCCUGAGGGCUAGUGUGGGUGCACACCGCACACAUGGUGGAGAGAAGGGAAGGAGGUUGUGGUGAAGGGCACCUUGUUCUCCCUGAGGAAAGGUGCAAGGAAACGUGCCUUCUCAGCACAUCUGUUGCCCAGACGGUGCUAGCAUUCCUCCCUCUCAGCAAGUUCACGACCUGUCUGAGCCCGCGUUUCCUCAUCUGUAUGAAAGACAGAGAAGAUCAUAAUAGAAAUUCACGUUGUCAGUACUUCCAGCAAACAGGCUCAAUUCGUUUACCGAAUUUCCAUCUGCCUUAAGACUGCUGGAUGAGAUUGAAGUCGGCUACGGGCGAUGAAACAAGCAAGGGCUAAGAGCAGCCGAACUCCUGCCAAGGUUAGGUGCCAAGGCAAUCCUGCCCUGACCUCAGAUAGCUCUGGAAAAGGAAGGGCUGGGGAGAAGCUGCAGGCUAUCUGCAGAUUUCCAUCCUCCCAGUUUUCCAGGGAGAGGAUGAGAAUAACAUGCUUUUAAGAGCCAGGCCAGAUAAUGCCAGUGAGUGGAGCGUGCUGGGGAUUUGCAUGGAAAACACGAGCCGCGCCCUGUCCUUCCACAGAGACGCACUCUCUGCUUGCUGGUCAAGCAAAUUGUCCUCUGCAUACGUUUUAUUUUCUCACUUCUCGUGGAGUCAUGAACACGGAGAAAUUAUUUCCCUAUUACAAGGAAAAUACUAAAAUAUAGGCUCAAGCAGCAGCUGCGGAAGCAACUGAGAAGACGUGGGGAGUGCGCACCCCACCCAGAGGGGCGGAAGCCGAGCCGUGGGGCGUGAGCGUGUGCACCCAGUGUGGCCACAUCUUCCCCUUUAACAGCAGCUGGAAAUUCAGAUUUUUUAAAAUGUUUUUUUCUUCUUCUUUUCUUUUAAUGGGGCAAAUGUUGUUUAAAACUUUGUAUACACCAAAUAAAACCCACCUGCCCAUGGCCAAUUGGCAUCCCACCUUCCACAGAGUACCCUGAACGUUGAAGAGUUCUUGACAGAUUACUACAAAUUUGGCUUUCUGGGUAACCCUCCUAAUGCAGCUAGGAGCCUCGGGAAUCUCAGUAACUGGGAGGGGCGUGUCUUUGACCUUGACUUGGUCUUUGUGCCCUCGGCGGAUUCCAGGGAGCUGGUGCAGGCUGGACAGAGGGGGGAUCUCUCGUCUCAGCAGCAUUUCUUUCCUGGGGUCUUUAUGUCACCCUGAGGUAGUCGCUGGGGCACCGGCUCCUUCUGUAAGCCACCUCCUGACCUCUCCUUGGGUGGAGAUUAAAGAAGAGACACUUUCCUGUUGUCCUGACCAAGCUCGUGGCAGAGAUGACAGGCCAGCAGUGCUGGGGUGAGCCCUCGUGGCCUCUAGGCCUCUCGCCCCUCUUCUUACACGUGGAGAAGCUGAGAUGCAGAAAGCCCAGCCACCUUGCAGGAGCCCCCAGCUCCUCGGUGACAGCUGAGGGGCGAGAUCCGGGGCUUCCUGCCUCACCGUCCCACACUACCUCUUACAGCAUGCCACCUCUGCCCCCACCGGGCACACCUAGCCUCUCCAGGCCUUCUCUACAGGCUGCGUGGGCCUUGCAACAGACUACACGGCCAAGCUCAGAGUGGAGGCUGGGAAAACUGGGGAAGGCCAGAAGGAAAGCAGGUGGGGGUUUGGGGAACAUUCUCUUGUUGCUCUCUGCAUGUGCAGAAUUCACCCAAAAUCCAUCCAGAAAAAAGGCAUGUUCUUAUUUUGUCACCUGGGUCUGGAGUCACCCAUGCCGCUGAAGCCUAUUGGACCGUGCCAAGCAAAUUUGGCCUGAGGACAGGCCUGGCUGGGUCUUUUCCUGGGGUUUGCACAGGUUUUCACAGAGCCGCUCCUGCAGGUGGGGGCGGAGAGGCAAGAGUCUUUGGCUCUCCCUCCAUUCUCCCCUCACCGGGCUUGAAGCCUGCACACUUCUCACUCCGGCCAAGGGCUUGCUUCCUCCGACGGAAGGUUUCCUGGAGGGGGUGCAUGGCCUAAAGAACGGCUCAUCCUGGGAUUCCUAACCUCUGAUCUUAACCUGUGAUGCUAUUUGAUCCUAAAUCACUCACUUUUAUUUAUUUUUUAUUUUUU
Ailuropoda melanoleuca (giant panda) is the source of this 5802-nucleotide long non-coding RNA. RefSeq lists it as uncharacterized. The record is from RefSeq and is a predicted model, not a curated record. Lineage: Eukaryota; Metazoa; Chordata; Mammalia; Carnivora; Ursidae. The transcript has 5 exons.